Molecule: transfer RNA, 57 nt
Filed under: Plasmopara halstedii
Lineage: Eukaryota; Oomycota; Peronosporomycetes; Peronosporales; Peronosporaceae
Rfam family: tRNA
About the family: Transfer RNA (tRNA) molecules are approximately 80 nucleotides in length. Their secondary structure includes four short double-helical elements and three loops (D, anti-codon, and T loops). Further hydrogen bonds mediate the characteristic L-shaped molecular structure. tRNAs have two regions of fundamental functional importance: the anti-codon, which is responsible for specific mRNA codon recognition, and the 3' end, to which the tRNAs corresponding amino acid is attached (by aminoacyl-tRNA synthetases). tRNAs cope with the degeneracy of the genetic code in two manners: having more than one tRNA (with a specific anti-codon) for a particular amino acid; and 'wobble' base-pairing, i.e. permitting non-standard base-pairing at the 3rd anti-codon position.
Source: Rfam by way of RNAcentral
AGUGCCAUAGCUUAGUGGUGAAGCGCUCGCUUCACAAGCGAGUGGUCGGUGGCUCGU